GCCCGGGUGGCGGAAUUGGUAGACGCGCCAGCUUGAGGUGCUGGUGGGAACCUUUACUCCCGUGCUGGUUCGAGUCCAGUUCCGGGCACCA
This 91-nucleotide transfer RNA is filed under the name Planctomycetota bacterium. RNAcentral describes it as "Planctomycetes bacterium tRNA-Leu". It matches the Rfam family "tRNA". Rfam says of the family: Transfer RNA (tRNA) molecules are approximately 80 nucleotides in length. The record is from RNAcentral. Lineage: Bacteria; Pseudomonadati; Planctomycetota.